GGAUGUGAGGGCGAUCUGGCUGCGACAUCUGUCACCCCAUUGAUCGCCAGGGUUGAUUCGGCUAAUCUGGCUGGCUAGGCGGAUGUCCCCUUCCUCCCUCACCUCUCCAUGUGCGUCCCUCCCCAAGCUGCGCGCUCCGUGGAAGAGGACGACCAUCCCCGAUAGAGGAGGACCGUUCUUCCAUCAAGUGUGUAGGAGUAGCUGCGCUCCCCUGCUAGAACCUCCAAACAAGCUCUCAAGAAUAUAAAACUUAAAUCCAGAACAUUUAAUACAAAAGAUAGAGCUAAAAGCUAAGAAAUAAAUGAACAGAGGUGAUGGGGGGGGCAAGGUAAAAGUACUUUAUGU
RNAcentral lists this small nuclear RNA (345 nucleotides) under Castor canadensis (American beaver). RNAcentral's name for it is "7SK RNA (ENSCCNG00000004929.1)". It matches the Rfam family "7SK RNA". From Rfam's summary of the family: 7SK was discovered as an abundant small nuclear RNA in the mid-70s but a possible function has only recently been suggested. Two independent studies have found that 7SK RNA binds the CDK9/cyclin T complex (known as elongation factor P-TEFb). The record is from Rfam by way of RNAcentral. Lineage: Eukaryota; Metazoa; Chordata; Mammalia; Rodentia; Castoridae.